UGGUGCGUAGCUCAAUGGUCAGAGCACUCUGUUGAUAACGGAGAGGUUGCUGGUUCGAAUCCAGCCGUACCAA
Molecule: transfer RNA, 73 nt
Filed under: Caudoviricetes sp.
Lineage: Duplodnaviria; Heunggongvirae; Uroviricota; Caudoviricetes
Description: tRNA-Ile
Rfam family: tRNA
About the family: Transfer RNA (tRNA) molecules are approximately 80 nucleotides in length. Their secondary structure includes four short double-helical elements and three loops (D, anti-codon, and T loops).
Source: RNAcentral